This 400-nucleotide ribosomal RNA is filed under the name uncultured bacterium. RNAcentral describes it as "bacterial SSU rRNA". It matches the Rfam family "Bacterial small subunit ribosomal RNA", at positions 356 to 773 of the family's 1533-position model. The record is from RNAcentral.
GGGGAAUAUUGGACAAUGGGCGCAAGCCUGAUCCAGCCAUGCCGCGUGAGUGAUGAAGGCCUUAGGGUUGUAAAGCUCUUUUGGCGGGGACGAUAAUGACGGUACCCGCAGAAUAAGUCCCGGCUAACUUCGUGCCAGCAGCCGCGGUAAUACGAAGGGGACUAGCGUUGUUCGGAAUCACUGGGCGUAAAGCGCACGUAGGCGGAUUUGUAAGUCAGGGGUGAAAUCCCGGGGCUCAACCUCGGAACUGCCUUUGAUACUGCGAAUCUUGAGUCCGAUAGAGGUGGGUGGAAUUCCUAGUGUAGAGGUGAAAUUCGUAGAUAUUAGGAAGAACACCAGUGGCGAAGGCGGCCCACUGGAUCGGUACUGACGCUGAGGUGCGAAAGCGUGGGGAGCAAAC